Molecule: ribosomal RNA, 388 nt
Filed under: uncultured bacterium
Lineage: Bacteria
Description: bacterial SSU rRNA
Rfam family: Bacterial small subunit ribosomal RNA
Source: RNAcentral
AUUGAACGCUGGCGGCAUGCCUUACACAUGCAAGUCGAACGGCAGCACGGGAGCAAUCCUGGUGGCGAGUGACGAACGGGUGAGUAAUGUAUCGGAACGUACCUUUCAGUGGGGGAUAACGUAGCGAAAGUUACGCUAAUACCGCAUAUUCUGUGAGCAGGAAAGCAGGGGAUCGCAAGACCUUGCGCUGAUUGAGCGGCCGAUAUCAGAUUAGCUAGUUGGUGAGGUAAAGGCUCACCAAGGCGACGAUCUGUAGCGGGUCUGAGAGGAUGAUCCGCCACACUGGAACUGAGACACGGUCCAGACUCCUACGGGAGGCAGCAGUGGGGAAUUUUGGACAAGUGGGCGCAAGCCUGAUCCAGCCAUGCCGCGUGAGUGAAGAAGGCCU